GGGGAAUUUUGGACAAUGGGGGGAACCCUGAUCCAGCCAUGCCGCGUGUCUGAAGAAGGCCUUCGGGUUGUAAAGCACUUUCAGCGGGGAGGAAGGCGGUGAGGUUAAUAACCUCACCGAUUGACGUUACCCGCAGAAGAAGCACCGGCUAACUCCGUGCCAGCAGCCGCGGUAAUACGGAGGGUGCAAGCGUUAAUCGGAAUUACUGGGCGUAAAGCGCACGCAGGCGGUCUGUCAAGUCGGAUGUGAAAUCCCCGGGCUCAACCUGGGAACUGCAUUCGAAACUGGCAGGCUAGAGUCUUGUAGAGGGGGGUAGAAUUCCAGGUGUAGCGGUGAAAUGCGUAGAGAUCUGGAGGAAUACCGGUGGCGAAGGCGGCCCCCUGGACAAAGACUGACGCUCAGGGGCGAAAGCGUGGGGAGCAAAC
RNAcentral lists this ribosomal RNA (425 nucleotides) under uncultured bacterium. RNAcentral describes it as "bacterial SSU rRNA". It matches the Rfam family "Bacterial small subunit ribosomal RNA", at positions 356 to 773 of the family's 1533-position model. The record is from RNAcentral.